Panicum virgatum (switchgrass) is the source of this 454-nucleotide long non-coding RNA. RefSeq lists it as uncharacterized. The record is from RefSeq and is a predicted model, not a curated record. The transcript has 2 exons. NCBI's taxonomy places the organism in Eukaryota, Viridiplantae, Streptophyta, Magnoliopsida, Poales, Poaceae.
AUGAAGAUAGCUCCAACUCUGCCUCCAGUGGUCAGUACUACAACCCUUACAGUACUUCUCCCCCUGCAGGGGGCUUUCUGUGGCCACCACCAGGGGUGGUGAACCCGCCACUUCCGCAGGCAGUUGCAGCAUUGCCUUAUUUGGAUUAUCACGGCUACCUACCAUAUAGAGCUCCACAGUUGCAAUAUCACCCACCUACGUACGUGUAUUUGCCACCAACAGACGAGCCGUAUGAGGGACCACCGGGAGAGAGAUUUGAGGACUGAAGAAUGCAGAGAAUAUGCUACAUGGAUUAUUCUGGACUAUGCCUUUGCCUCUGUUGUAUCUUUGGAUUGUAAUAAUUCUAAUGGACUUUGGAUGUAUUGCGUUCUAUGUGUGGACUUUGGACAUGAGUUAUGUGUAAUAAUUCUAAUGGACUUUGGAUGUAUUACGUUGUAUGUGUGGACUUUGGACA